RNAcentral lists this transfer RNA (73 nucleotides) under Spirochaetaceae bacterium. RNAcentral's name for it is "tRNA-Lys". It matches the Rfam family "tRNA". Rfam says of the family: Transfer RNA (tRNA) molecules are approximately 80 nucleotides in length. Lineage: Bacteria; Pseudomonadati; Spirochaetota; Spirochaetia; Spirochaetales; Spirochaetaceae. The record is from RNAcentral.
GGGCCGAUAGCUCAGCUGGUAGAGCAACGCCCUUUUAAGGCGUGGGUCACAGGUUCGAAUCCUGUUCGGCUCA